GAGUUUGAUCCUGGCUCAGGAUGAACGCUGGCGGCGUGCUUAACACAUGCAAGUCGAACGAAGCACUUUAUUACGAUUUCUUCGGAAUGACGAUUUAGUGACUGAGUGGCGGACGGGUGAGUAACGCGUGGGUAACCUGCCUUGUACAGGGGGAUAACAGUUGGAAACGGCUGCUAAUACCGCAUAAGCGCACAGCAUCGCAUGAUGCAGUGUGAAAAACUCCGGUGGUAUAAGAUGGACCCGCGUUGGAUUAGCUAGUUGGUGAGGUAACGGCCCACCAAGGCGACGAUCCAUAGCCGACCUGAGAGGGUGACCGGCCACAUUGGGACUGAGACACGGCCCAAACUCCUACGGGAGGCAGCAGUGGGGAAUAUUGCACAAUGGGCGAAAGCCUGAUGCAGCGACGCCGCGUGAGCGAAGAAGUAUUUCGGUAUGUAAAGCUCUAUCAGCAGGGAAGAUAAUGACGGUACCUGACUAAGAAGCACCGGCUAAAUACGUGCCAGCCGCCGCGGUAAUUC
RNAcentral lists this ribosomal RNA (518 nucleotides) under uncultured bacterium. Its description in RNAcentral is "bacterial SSU rRNA". It matches the Rfam family "Bacterial small subunit ribosomal RNA", at positions 9 to 526 of the family's 1533-position model. The record is from RNAcentral.